UUCUUUUUCUUUCACUCUUCUUUCACUUCACGCCUGAAUUGAUUAUUUUCUCUUCCUCUCUAUUUUGAUUUUAUUUCUUUUGUUUUAUUUGUGGUGGUGUUAAUGUUUGUGGCUUUUGGAUUUGGGUGUUGCAGCUUAUUGAUUUUGUUCAAAUUUAUAAAUGGUGUUUGAAGCCAUUGGUUGUAUAGUUGCAGAACGGUGAUAAGCUCUCAUUCAUGAAAGAGGUAGGGGAGAUCUUAGAGCUUGAUGGCAAAUCUGUUGUGAAUAUCCUAGUAAUUACAGAAGUGGCAGCUGAAAUUUUAACAACGAAAAAUGGGUUGAAGUUGACAUGGCCAUCUGAAUUAUUUGUGCAUAUUCCUCCAGAGUUCUCGCAUAAUUAUGCGAGAGCUCUGGAGGAACAUGCACAGUUAAUUCAGAUUAUUAUGCGAGAGCUCUGGAGGAACAUGCACAGUUAAUUCAGAUUACGCAAGAGCUCUGGGAGAACAUGCACAACUAAUCGUCAAGGUAAUUUGGCUUGCCUUUGUCAUGGAGAAUUGCGUCCAUAUAACUGUCGUAAUUAGCAUCUUGCUUGGAGAUUUGAGGCGAGAGAGCUUAAAUCUGUGACCCUAAUGGUAUCUACUGCUACACCUGCAAGUAAUAAGAUGCUUUUCAAACAUUUCUUUCAGCUAGAAUAAAGUCCCAAAAUUUGUUGGGAAUAUGUGUGGCAGGUUUUUCCUAUUUUCAUGAGGAACAGUGAGUUGCACUCUUUAAUGUUUUGCAGGUUGUAUUAUGGUUGCGUUAUGUACAAUUUGAAGCUUUAGAGCAAUUGCACUAAUUCAUGUAAAAUAUUAUGUC
Long non-coding RNA from Quercus lobata, 834 nucleotides. RefSeq lists it as uncharacterized. The transcript is spliced from 2 exons. The record is from RefSeq and is a predicted model, not a curated record. NCBI's taxonomy places the organism in Eukaryota, Viridiplantae, Streptophyta, Magnoliopsida, Fagales, Fagaceae.